This 1045-nucleotide long non-coding RNA is filed under the name Monodelphis domestica (gray short-tailed opossum). RNAcentral describes it as "lncRNA (ENSMODG00000039794.1)". Lineage: Eukaryota; Metazoa; Chordata; Mammalia; Didelphimorphia; Didelphidae. The record is from RNAcentral.
UUCCUACUGAUUCACCCCUGCAUAAAUUUUUAAAUUCCUGGAGUGAUCCUAAUUUGUCUAAGGAGAAUUGGAUGACAAAGAAAGAAGCUAGAAAGCUUUGUAAGGUGGUUGAACAUUCCAUGGAGCAAGCAUUAGGCUGGAAGAUAGAGGACCUGGAUUGGAUGGAGAAAUUGAAGAUUAGAGAAGGAAGUGAUUUGUCCAGAAUAAAUCUAGGGUUGGUGCUACAAUUAGAUGUCACAUCUCUUGAUUUUAAUUUAAGUACAUUUUCCAUCAUAUCCUACUCUAACUCUUUCAGACUACAUUUCCCAGAGGGCAGCAUUUUCACCAUUUUUCUUACGGUCUUUCUUUGAAGUAGAAUAUCUACCACCACUAUGUUUUAUGGAGAGAUUAAUGGAUUCAAGACAAAAGUAUAAGCUUUAAGCAGAUCCCUGUUCCUUACUUCUCCUAGCAGGAGAACUAGACACAUACCCCCUAAUUAGGGCUGAGGGAAGAAGAGAAAAUGGAUUGAACUGAUGACUCUCCUCCCUUCCCUAGCCAUAUCUAUAUACUAGACCUAAUUUAGGAAGGAACAAAAAAAGAUGGCAUAGUCCCUUCACCUCUAGUUUCACCUCUUUUCAUUCCAUCACACUCAUACCACCUCCUAAUUCACCUUCUUAGAACAUAUGUUACUCUUCUACCAAGGGCCAGAAGUAUAUCUGCCCACUACAUUAAUUCUAAACUAUAUUUAACCUUCAAAAUCUUCCAUAAUCUGGCCCCACCCACCAGUUGGUCUCCCACAACUCUCCAGUGCCUUCCCAAGAAAACUGUAAUCCCAAAUCCAUUCCAAUCUCAACCACACUGAUGAAUAAGUGGCUUGAGUAAUCAAUCUGCAGUCUUAUAGAUGGUUGCUUUGUUUUCAGAGUUGUUUCUCCAAGGAGGAGACUGAAGGGGAUGGAUGGAUGAAUCAAUGAAUGAAAAAACACUUAUUACUAUAUGUAAAACACUGUCGAGAGCUGAGGACAUGAAAAUCAAGGCAGAACUCAUUCUUUUUUUUUUUUUAAACUCU